UACGGAGGAUGCGAGCGUUAUCCGGAUUUAUUGGGUUUAAAGGGUGCGUAGGCGGACUGUCAAGUCAGCGGUAAAAUUGAGAGGCUCAACCUCUUCCCGCCGUUGAAACUGGUGGUCUUGAGUGGAUGAGAAGUACGCGGAAUGCGUGGUGUAGCGGUGAAAUGCAUAGAUAUCACGCAGAACUCCGAUUGCGAAGGCAGCGUACCGGCAUCCAACUGACGCUGAGGCACGAAAACGUGGGGAUCAAACAGG
This 252-nucleotide ribosomal RNA is filed under the name uncultured bacterium. Its description in RNAcentral is "partial 16S ribosomal RNA". It matches the Rfam family "Bacterial small subunit ribosomal RNA", at positions 524 to 776 of the family's 1533-position model. The record is from RNAcentral.